This 534-nucleotide ribosomal RNA is filed under the name uncultured bacterium. RNAcentral's name for it is "bacterial SSU rRNA". It matches the Rfam family "Bacterial small subunit ribosomal RNA", at positions 8 to 526 of the family's 1533-position model. The record is from RNAcentral.
AGAGUUUGAUCCUGGCUCAGAUUGAACGCUGGCGGCAGGCCUAACACAUGCAAGUCGAGCGGUAGCACAGAGAGCUUGCUCUCGGGUGACGAGCGGCGGACGGGUGAGUAAUGUCUGGGAAACUGCCUGAUGGAGGGGGAUAACUACUGGAAACAGGUGCUAAUACCGCAUACGUCAUCAUUCCACAUGGAAAGAUGACAAAAGACGCUACGGUGUCACUGUUGGAUGGGCCCGCGCUGCAUUAGUUAGUUGGUGAGGUAACGGCUCACCAAGACCAUGAUGCAUAGCCGACCUGAGAGGGUGAUCGGCCACACUGGGACUGAGACACGGCCCAGACUCCUACGGGAGGCAGCAGUGGGGAAUAUUGCACAAUGGGCGCAAGCCUGAUGCAGCCAUGCCGCGUGUGUGAAGAAGGCCUUCGGGUUGUAAAGCACUUUCAGCGGGGAGGAAGGCGGUGAGGUUAAUAACCUCACCGAUUGACGUUACCCGCAGAAGAAGCACCGGCUAACUCCGUGCCAGCAGCCGCGGUAAUUC